UGGCUCAGUUGGUAGAGCGUGGUGUGUGCAACGCCAGGGUUGUGGGUUCGAUUCCCAC
RNAcentral lists this transfer RNA (58 nucleotides) under Salmo salar (Atlantic salmon). It matches the Rfam family "tRNA", at positions 8 to 63 of the family's 71-position model. From Rfam's summary of the family: Transfer RNA (tRNA) molecules are approximately 80 nucleotides in length. Their secondary structure includes four short double-helical elements and three loops (D, anti-codon, and T loops). Further hydrogen bonds mediate the characteristic L-shaped molecular structure. tRNAs have two regions of fundamental functional importance: the anti-codon, which is responsible for specific mRNA codon recognition, and the 3' end, to which the tRNAs corresponding amino acid is attached (by aminoacyl-tRNA synthetases). tRNAs cope with the degeneracy of the genetic code in two manners: having more than one tRNA (with a specific anti-codon) for a particular amino acid; and 'wobble' base-pairing, i.e. permitting non-standard base-pairing at the 3rd anti-codon position. Lineage: Eukaryota; Metazoa; Chordata; Actinopteri; Salmoniformes; Salmonidae. RNAcentral also lists the same sequence under 1 other name. The record is from Rfam by way of RNAcentral.